GGAAAGGAUUACGGUGGAUACCUAGGCACCCAUAGAAGAGAAAGGGCAUAGUAAUCGAUGAAAUGCUUUGGGGAGGUGAAAAUAAGCAUAGAUCCGUAGAUUCCCGAAUAGGGAAACCUUUCGAACUGAUCCUGAAUCCAUGGGCAGGAAAGAGACAACCUGGCGAACUGAAACAUCUUAGCAGCCGGAAGAAAAGAAAGCAAAAGCGAUUCUCGUAGUAGCGGCGAGCGAAUGGGAGCAGCCUAAACAGUGAAAACGGGGUUGUGGGAGAGCAAUACAAGUGUUGUGAUGCUAGACAAAGCAACCUGAAUGUUGCACCCUAGAUGGCAAAAGUCCUGUAGCUGAAAGCAUCAUUAGCUUACGCUCUGACCCGAGUAGCAUGGCGCACGUGGGAUCCCGUGUGAAUCAGCAUGGACCACCUUGCAAGGCUAAAUACUCCUGGGUGACCGAUAGCAAAGUAGUACCGUGAGGGAAGGGUGAAAAGAACCCCCAUCAGGGAGUGAAAUAGAACAUAAAACUGUAAGCUCCCAAGCAGUGGGAGGAGCCAUGGCUCUAACCACGUGCCUAUUGAAGAAUGAGCCGGCGACUCAUAGGCAGUGGCUUGGUUAAGGGAACCCACCAGAGCCGUAGAGAAAGCGAGUCUUCAUAGGGCAAUUGUCACUACUUAUGGACCCAAACCUGGGUGAUGUAUCCAUGACCAGGAUGAAGCUUGGGUGAAACUAAGUAGAGGUCCGAACCGACUGAUGUUGAAGAAUCAGCGGAUGAGUUGUGGUUAGAGGUGAAAUGCCACUCGAAACUAGAGCUAGCUGGUUCUCCCCAAAAUGCAUUGGGGUGCAGUAUUUGACUAGACAUCUAGGGGUAAAGCACUAUUUCGGUGUGGGCCACGAGAGCGGUACCAAAUCGAGGCAAACUCUGAAUACUAGGUAUGGCCUUAAAAUUAAAAAAGAGGGGUCAAAGUCGGCUAGUGAGACGAUGAGGGAUAAGCUUCAUCGUCGAGAGGGAAACAGCCUGGACCACCAGCUAAGGCCCUUAAAUGGCCGCUCAAUAAUAAAGAAGGUAGGGGUGCGGAGACAGCCAAGAGGUUUUCCUAGAAGCAGCCACCCUUGAAAGAGUGCAUAAUAGCUCACUGAUCGAGCUCUCUAGCACCGAAGAUGAACGGGGCUAAGCGAUCUGCCAAAGCUGUAGGAUGUAAAAAUACAUCAGUAGGGGAGUGUUCUGCAUUAGAGGGAAGCCUCUGCGUGAGCGGUGGUGGAUAAAGCAAAAGCGAGAAUGUCGGCUUGAGUAAUGCAAACAUUGGUGAUAAUCCAAUGCCCCAAAAACCUAAGGGUUCCUCUGCAAUGUUCAUCCAUUGAGGGUGAGUCACGGCCUAAGAUCAGGCCGAAAGGCAUGGUCAAUGGACAAAAGGUGAAUAUUCCUGUACUACCCCUUGUUGGUCCCAAGGGAUGGAGGAGGCUAGGUUAGUCAAAAGAUGGUUAUCAGUUCAAGAAUGUAAGGUGUCCCUGCCUUUUUUUUAGGGUAAGAAGGGGUAGAGAAAAUACCUUGAGCAAACGUUUGAAUACCAGGCGCUACGGCGCUGAAGUAACCCAUGCCAUACUCCCAGGAAAAGCUCGAAUAACUUUAAGCAAGAGGUUACCUGUACCCGAAACCGACACAGGUGGGUAGGUAGAGAAUACCUAGGGGUGCAAGACAACUCUCUCUAAGGAACAAAGCAAAAUAGCCCCGUAACUUUGGGAGAAGAGGUGCCUUUUCACAUCACAAAGGGGGUCGUAGUGACCAAGCCCAGGCGACUGUUUACCAAAAACAUAGGGUCUCCAAAAAUUCGUAAGAGCAUGUAUGGGGGCUGACGCUUGCCCAGUGCCAGAAGGUCAAGGAUGUUGGUGACCUGAUGAUAGGGGAGCCGACAAUCGAAGCCCCGGUGAACGGAGACCAUAACUAUAACGGUCCUAAGGUAGUGAAAUUCCUUAUUAGGUAAGUUCUGACCCACACAAAAGUCGUAAUGAUCUGGGCACUAUCUCGAAGAGAGGCUCGAUAAAUAGACAUGUCUGUAAAGAUGCGGUCUACCUGUACCUGGACAGAAAGAUCCUAUGAAGCAUCACUAUUCCCUAGGAUUGGCUUUGGGCCUUUCCUGUGCAGCUUAGGUGGAAGGCAAAGAAGGCCUCCUUCCAAGGGGACCCGAGCCAUCAGUGAGAUAACACUCUGGAAGGGCUAGAAUUCUAGCCUUGUGUCAGGACCUAUGGGCUAAGGGACAGUCUCAGGUAGAUAGUUUCUAUGGGGCGUAGGCCUCCCAAAAGGUAACGGAGGCGUGCAAAGGUUUCCUUAGGCCGGACAGAGAUUCGCCCUCGAGUGCAAAGGCAGAAGGGAGCUUGACUUCAAGACCCACCCGUCUAGCAGGGACAAAAUUCGGCCUUAGUGAUCCGACGGUUCCGAGUAGAAGGGUCGUCGAUCAAAGGAUAAAAGUUAAUCUAAGGAUAAAUGGCUGAUCUUCACUAAGAGCUCACAUCGAUGGGAAGGUUUGGCACCUCAAUGUCGGCUCUUCGCCACCUGGGGCUAUAGUAUGUUCCAAGGGUUGGGCUGUUCGCCCAUUAAAGUGGUACGUGAACUGGGUUAGAAGGUCGUGAGACAGUCCGGUCCAUAUCUGGUGUGGGCGUUAGAGCAUUGAGAGGACCUUUCCCUAGUACGAGAGGACCGAGAAGGACGCACUUCUGGUGUACCAGUUAUCGUUCCCACGGUAAAUGCUGGGUAGCCAAGUGCGGAGCGGAUAAUUGCUGAAAGCAUCUAAGUAGUAAGCCCACCCCAAGAUGAGUGCUCUUUUAUUUCGACCUCCCCAUAUCUUCCAGUAGCACAGACGAGAUAGCGACGGGUUCUCUGCCCCUGUGGGGAUGGAGCGACAGAAGUUUUUUUGAGAAUUCAAGAGAAGGUCACGACGAGAUGAGCCGUUUAUCAUUACGAUAGGUUUCAAGUGGAAGUGCAGUGAUGUAUGCAGAUGAGGCAUCCUAACAGACCGGUAGACUUGAAC
Molecule: ribosomal RNA, 3016 nt
Filed under: Capsicum baccatum
Lineage: Eukaryota; Viridiplantae; Streptophyta; Magnoliopsida; Solanales; Solanaceae
Description: bacterial LSU rRNA
Rfam family: Bacterial large subunit ribosomal RNA
Source: RNAcentral